UAUCAAAAAGGAAAAAUGGCAAAACCCUCUUCCUCCUCUCUCCCAUAUCUCUCCUUCGCCACCCCCAAAGCACCGACAAACCCCAAUCACUCCCCUGUGCGGCCCAUCUCCUCCACCCCGAAAAUUCGCCGACUCUAUAGUGACGAUGAAAUCAAGCACUAUUCGAUUUGGAAAAUUCAAAUCGCCAUUGAUGGCCCUUUGUUCAAAUUUCAAAUCUUUUUAUUUUUCGAGUUUCGAAUCCGGACUUUCAAGUCCGGAUUCACCUAUAAAUUGUGUUCAUCGUCUCUAGUGGAAGGGUGGAAAAAAAGAAAUUGGGAAAACAGGGGAGUAAAAUUAGAAGGAGCAAGAAGGGAAUUGGGGGAAAAAGAAGCAAAUUUCAUAAGAAAGGUAAGGAAAAGAAAAAAAAAAAACGAGGGGAAUUGGAAAAGGAGUAAAAAUUAGUGUUUGAACAGAGAGGAAAAUAGCAAAAGAGGGGGGCGGAGAAGUGGUUCACGAAAGACUGCAUAUUAUAUCAAUUUCCUUCAUCAUACUACCACUUUUUUAUUGUUGAGUCUAUCGGAGUUGAGUUUGAAGAGGAAAUUCGUGGCCGGAAUCUUGACAGAAAGCUCCGGUUUGCUGCUCAACAAAAGCAUAAUGAAGACAUCUAAAGAAUUGUGGAAUGCGCUGGAAAAGAAAUAUAAGACUGAGGAUGCGGGAAUCAAGAAGUUUUAUGUUUCACGAUUUCUUGAAUACAAAAUGAUCGAUAGUAAGACUGUUUGUUUCUCAAGUACAAGAGUUGCAAGUCAUCAUCCACGAUCUCCUUGCAGAAGGUUUGGUUGUGAACGAGGAAUUUCAAGUAACUGCGAUAAUUGAGAAGUUGCCACCUUUGUGGAAGGACUUCAAGAAUUACUUGAAACACAAAUGAAAGGAGAUCACAGUUAAAGACCUCAUUGUGAGGUUGCACAUUGAAGAAGAUAAUAAAUCCGCAGAGAGAAGGUCUAAAGAAAAUUUUGCAAUGAAUGGAGCUAAUAUUGUAAAAGACGACCCCAAUAACUCAAAAAAGCGGAAGAAAGUUGGACAACAAAGCAAUCAGCUUAAGAAGAAAUUCAAAGGGAAAUGCUUUAAUUGUUGCAAGAUUGACCACAAGUCUAUAGAUUGUCGUGCCCCAAAGAAAGGCAAAAAGAAGGAUCAAGCAAAUAUGGCUGAAUCCAAGAACGAAAUAGACGAUCUAUGUGUCAUGCUUUCGGAAUGUAACUUGGUGGGAAAUCCUUGAGAAUGGUGGAUGAAUUCUAGUUCCACCCGCCACGUUUGUGCAAAUAAAGAGUUAUUUGUUGCGUUUGCUCCAACUCAAGGCGAAGAGAAGAUUUACAUGGUAAACUCCAUAACUGCAAAAUUUGAAGGGACAAGAAAAGUAUGCUUGAAAAUGACUUCAGGAAAAGUAUUGACUCUUAGCAAUGUUCUGUAUGUACCAGAGUUAAGAAAGAACUUGAUUUCUGUAUUACUUCUUGACAAAAAUGGAUUCAAAUAUGUAUUUAUUUUUGAAAAAAAUGUAAUUAGCAAAGGGGAAGUAUACGUAGGAAAAGGCUAUCUCACUAGGGGCCUAUUUAAGAUGAAUGUUAUGAAUGUUGAAGUCAAUAGAAGUUCUGUUUCUUCUUAUUUGCUUGAGUCUAACGAUUUG
Capsicum annuum is the source of this 1657-nucleotide long non-coding RNA. RefSeq lists it as uncharacterized. The transcript is spliced from 3 exons. Lineage: Eukaryota; Viridiplantae; Streptophyta; Magnoliopsida; Solanales; Solanaceae. The record is from RefSeq and is a predicted model, not a curated record.